This 542-nucleotide unclassified non-coding RNA is filed under the name Hevea brasiliensis (rubber tree). The record is from RNAcentral. Lineage: Eukaryota; Viridiplantae; Streptophyta; Magnoliopsida; Malpighiales; Euphorbiaceae.
AAAAAAAAAAAAAAAAACUACUUUAGCACACUGGAGCUCAUUAAUAAGCGGGCUAUAGACUUGCAGCAUUGUGAAUAUAAUCAAAUAAGAAUUACAAAUGAACUGAACUAUCUCCCAAAAGAAAAAUAUUAUAACUAGAAAACAGUAAUCUUUUCACCAGUUUAUGGAACAUAAAUGUCGUUGAGUUCCAGAAAAAUUUACGGUGAACAAAAUUAAUAAUCUGAUAUUUUUCAUUCCAAAAAUAAAAAAUGAAAAACUCAAAGAAUAGUUGACCAUAUUGAUACAGAUUCACAGUUAAGGUCAGUUAAACCAUUUCGUCUCCUCAAAAAAAAUAAAAUAAUGAAUUCAAAUCAAUAAACUGAAUUACAAAUUUCCUCAGAAACCAAACAACAAAAAAGAAAAUCACUGAAUAGCAAAACUAAGCAAAAGAUAAAACAGAAGACUAAAAGGAAAGUGAGGGAAAAAAGGGGGAACUUUACACCAAAACAUAAAACAACAAUUAUUAACGGAGAUGUUUGAUCAUUAAAAAGAAAAAAAAAAAG